CGGCCGCGUCGACGCCGCAAGGCGUCUGUGAGGUGCUGCAUGGUUGUCGUCAGCUCGUGCCGUGAGGUGUCGGCUUAAGUGCCAUAACGAGCGCAACCCUCGUGGUCAGUUACUAACAGGUUAAGCUGAGGACUCUGGCCAGACUGCCAUCGUAAGAUGUGAGGAAGGUGGGGAUGACGUCAAAUCAGCACGGCCCUUACGUCCGGGGCUACACACGUGUUACAAUGGGAGGUACAGAAGGCUGCUACCCGGCGACGGGAUGCCAAUCCCCAAAACCUCUCUCAGUUCGGACUGGAGUCUGCAACCCGACUCCACGAAGCUGGAUUCGCUAGUAAUCGCGCAUCAGCCACGGCGCGGUGAAUACGUUCCCGGGCCUUGUACACACCGCCCGUCGACGCGGCCG
RNAcentral lists this ribosomal RNA (403 nucleotides) under uncultured bacterium. RNAcentral describes it as "bacterial SSU rRNA". It matches the Rfam family "Bacterial small subunit ribosomal RNA", at positions 1001 to 1408 of the family's 1533-position model. The record is from RNAcentral.